GCAUAUCAAUAAGCGGAGGAAAAGAAACCAACAGGGAUUGCCUCAGUAACGGCGAGUGAAGCGGCAACAGCUCAAAUUUGAAAUCUGGCCUCUCGGGGUCCGAGUUGUAAUUUGUAGAGGAUGUUUUGGGUACCGCCCCGGUUUAAAUUUCUUGGAACAGAAUGUCAGAGAGGGUGAGAAUCCCGUCUUGGACCGGUGGUAGGGCCUGUGUAAAACUCCUUCGACGAGUCGAGUUGUUUGGGAAUGCAGCUCAAAAUGGGUGGUAAAUUUCAUCUAAAGCUAAAUAUUGGCCAGAGACCGAUAGCGCACAAGUAGAGUGAUCGAAAGAUGAAAAGAACUUUGAAAAGAGAGUUAAACAGUAUGUGAAAUUGUUGAAAGGGAAGCGCUUGCAACCAGACUUGAGCGCGACGGUUCCCCUAGCCUUUUGGCUAGGUUACUCCGUCGUGUCCAGGCCAACAUCGGUUCUGAGGGUCGGUCAAAGGCCCCGGGAAUGUACCUACCCACGGGUAGACUUAUAGACCGGGGUGUCAUGCGGCCUCUCGGGACCGAGGAACGCGCUUCGGCUCGGAUGUUGGCGUAAUGGUUGUCAGCGACCCGUCUUGAAACACGGACC
Molecule: ribosomal RNA, 613 nt
Filed under: Phialophora verrucosa
Lineage: Eukaryota; Fungi; Ascomycota; Eurotiomycetes; Chaetothyriales; Herpotrichiellaceae
Also listed under: 1 other name
Description: eukaryotic LSU rRNA
Rfam family: Eukaryotic large subunit ribosomal RNA
Source: RNAcentral